This 253-nucleotide ribosomal RNA is filed under the name uncultured bacterium. RNAcentral's name for it is "partial 16S ribosomal RNA". It matches the Rfam family "Bacterial small subunit ribosomal RNA", at positions 524 to 776 of the family's 1533-position model. The record is from RNAcentral.
UACGUAGGGGGCGAGCGUUACCCGGAUUUACUGGGCGUAAAGGGCGCGUAGGCGGGUCGUUUAGUUAGAGGUGAAAGCCCAGGGCUCAACCCUGGAAUUGCCUUUAAUACUGGCGGCCUUGAGUAUGGCAGAGGUGUGUGGAACUCCGAGUGUAGAGGUGAAAUUCGUAGAUAUUCGGAAGAACACCAGUGGCGAAGGCGACACGCUGGGCCAUUACUGACGCUGAGGCGCGAAAGCGUGGGGAGCAAACAGG